Long non-coding RNA from Mizuhopecten yessoensis (Yesso scallop), 434 nucleotides. RefSeq lists it as uncharacterized. Lineage: Eukaryota; Metazoa; Mollusca; Bivalvia; Pectinida; Pectinidae. The record is from RefSeq and is a predicted model, not a curated record. The transcript has 3 exons.
AGAAUCUGUUGGUGACAUAUAUAGGCAUGUUCCUCGGAGGGGACUACAUAUUCAGUACCAUCAAUUUUAUAGGAUUGAAUAUAAGUGUCUCUGGGAGUUUAGUGUACAGUUAUGUAACUUUCAAGAAACCACAGGAAAAAAGUGUUCAACCAACGGAAGCUACGCAGAAGUCUGAGGCAACUAUGACCGAGAUCAAAACUACAGGUAAGUAGUAAGUUACGUACGUUAAACAUAUUGUUUUGUCCACAGCUUUUUAAGUUCAGUUCAAUUUCCUGCCAAACAUACUCUCCCUCUACUGCAUGUAUGUGUUUCAGUUUAUCCUGUUCCAGACCGUGUCUCACUUUUGUAGCUCGUUUUGUAACAUGGACUUGGGUUUCCCACCGAAUAUCAUUCAUUUCACAAGUAUGACAUAAUAUUCAGAUUUUUGAAGAGUG